Molecule: ribosomal RNA, 465 nt
Filed under: uncultured bacterium
Lineage: Bacteria
Description: partial 16S ribosomal RNA
Rfam family: Bacterial small subunit ribosomal RNA
Source: RNAcentral
GACGAACGCUGGCGGCGUGCUUAACACAUGCAAGUCGAACGGAAAGGCCCUGCUUGCAGGGUACUCGAGUGGCGAACGGGUGAGUAACACGUGGGUGAUCUGCCCUGCACUUCGGGAUAAGCCUGGGAAACUGGGUCUAAUACCGGAUAGGAGCCAUUUUUAGUGUGAUGGUUGGAAAGUUUUUUCGGUGUAGGAUGAGCUCGCGGCCUAUCAGCUUGUUGGUGGGGUAAUGGCCUACCAAGGCGGCGACGGGUAGCCGGCCUGAGAGGGUGGACGGCCACAUUGGGACUGAGAUACGGCCCAGACGCCGACGGGAGGCAGCAGGGGGGAAUAUUGCACAAGGGGCGCAAGCCUGAUGCAGCGACGCCGCGGGGGGGAUGACGGCCUUCGGGUUGUAAACUCAUUUCGCUAGGGACGAAGCGUUUUGUGACGGUACCUAGAGAAGAAGCACCGGCUAACUACGUG